UAAGACGAACCACACAAACGUUAUUCGGAAUUACUGGGCUUAAAGGGUGCGUAGGCUGCGCAGUAAGUUGGGUGUGAAAUACCUCGGCUCAACCGAGGAACUGCGCCCAAAACUACUGUGCUUGAGGAAGAUAGAGGUAAGCGGAACUUACGGUGGAGCGGUGAAAUGCGUUGAUAUCGUAAGGAACACCUGUGGCGAAAGCGGCUUACUGGGUCUUUUCUGACGCUGAUGCACGAAAGCUAGGGGAGCAAACGGG
This 256-nucleotide ribosomal RNA is filed under the name uncultured bacterium. RNAcentral's name for it is "partial 16S ribosomal RNA". It matches the Rfam family "Bacterial small subunit ribosomal RNA", at positions 521 to 776 of the family's 1533-position model. The record is from RNAcentral.